RNAcentral lists this transfer RNA (66 nucleotides) under Microcebus tanosi (Anosy mouse lemur). RNAcentral's name for it is "tRNA-Thr". It matches the Rfam family "tRNA". From Rfam's summary of the family: Transfer RNA (tRNA) molecules are approximately 80 nucleotides in length. Their secondary structure includes four short double-helical elements and three loops (D, anti-codon, and T loops). Further hydrogen bonds mediate the characteristic L-shaped molecular structure. tRNAs have two regions of fundamental functional importance: the anti-codon, which is responsible for specific mRNA codon recognition, and the 3' end, to which the tRNAs corresponding amino acid is attached (by aminoacyl-tRNA synthetases). tRNAs cope with the degeneracy of the genetic code in two manners: having more than one tRNA (with a specific anti-codon) for a particular amino acid; and 'wobble' base-pairing, i.e. permitting non-standard base-pairing at the 3rd anti-codon position. The record is from RNAcentral. Lineage: Eukaryota; Metazoa; Chordata; Mammalia; Primates; Cheirogaleidae.
GCCCUUGUAGUAUAUAUAAUACUUUGGUCUUGUAAACCAAAAAUGGAGAUCACCCUCCCUAGGACA